RNAcentral lists this ribosomal RNA (468 nucleotides) under uncultured bacterium. RNAcentral's name for it is "partial 16S ribosomal RNA". It matches the Rfam family "Bacterial small subunit ribosomal RNA", at positions 28 to 507 of the family's 1533-position model. The record is from RNAcentral.
GACGAACGCUGGCGGCGUGCUUAACACAUGCAAGUCGAACGGAAAGGCCCUGCUUUUGUGGGGUGCUCGAGUGGCGAACGGGUGAGUAACACGUGAGUAACCUGCCCUUGACUUUGGGAUAACUUCAGGAAACUUGGGCUAAUACCGGAUAGGAGCUCCCGCUGCAUGGUGGGGGCUGGAAAGUUUCGGCGGUUGGGGAUGGACUCGCGGCUUAUCAGCUUGUUGGUUGGGUAGUGGCUUACCAAGGCAUUCAAGGGUAGCCGGCCUGGGAGGGUGACCGGCCACGUUGGGACUGAGAUACGGCCCAGACUCCUACGGGAGGCAGCAGUGGGGAAUAUUGCACAAUGGGCGGAAGCCUGAUGCAGCAACGCCGCGUGCGGGAUGAGGGCCUUCGGGUUGUAAACCGCUUUCGCCUGUGACGAAGCGUGAGUGACGGUAAUGGGUAAAGAAGCACCGGCUAACUACGUG